AGAACGAACGCUGGCGGCAGGCCUCAAACAUGCAAGUCUAGGGGGUGUAGCAAUACAUCACCGGCGGACGGGUGCGUAACACGUGGGAAUAUACCUUUUGGUUCGGAACAACGCAGGGAAACUUGCGCUAAUACCGAAUGUGCCCUUACGGGGAAAGAUUUAUCGCCAAAGGAUUAGCCCGCGUAGGAUUAGCUAGUUGGUGAGGUAAUGGCUCACCAAGGCUCCGAUCCUUAGCUGUUCUGAGAGGAAGAUCAGCCACACUGGGACUGAGACACGGCCCAGACUCCUACGGGAGGCAGCAGUUGGGAAUCUGGACAAUGGGGAACCCUGAUCCAGCCAUGCCGCGUGAGUGAUGAAGGCCUUCGGGUUGUAAAACUCUUUCGACGGGACGAUAAUGACGGUACCCGUAGAAGAAGCUCCGGCUAACUUCGUGCCAGCAGCCGC
RNAcentral lists this ribosomal RNA (444 nucleotides) under uncultured bacterium. Its description in RNAcentral is "SSU rRNA". It matches the Rfam family "Bacterial small subunit ribosomal RNA", at positions 26 to 518 of the family's 1533-position model. The record is from RNAcentral.